This 497-nucleotide ribosomal RNA is filed under the name uncultured bacterium. RNAcentral's name for it is "partial 16S ribosomal RNA". It matches the Rfam family "Bacterial small subunit ribosomal RNA", at positions 28 to 507 of the family's 1533-position model. The record is from RNAcentral.
GGUGAACGCUGGCGGCGUGCCUAAUACAUGCAAGUCGAGCGAACAGACGAGGAGCUUGCUCCUCUGACGUUAGCGGCGGACGGGUGAGUAACACGUGGAUAACCUACCUAUAAGACUGGGAUAACUUCGGGAAACCGGAGCUAAUACCGGAUAAUAUAUUGAACCGCAUGGUUCAAUAGUGAAAGACGGUUUUGCUGUCACUUAUAGAUGGAUCCGCGCCGCAUUAGCUAGUUGGUAAGGUAACGGCUUACCAAGGCAACGAUGCGUAGCCGACCUGAGAGGGUGAUCGGCCACACUGGAACUGAGACACGGUCCAGACUCCUACGGGAGGCAGCAGUAGGGAAUCUUCCGCAAUGGGCGAAAGCUUGACGGAGCAACGCCGCGUGAGUGAUGAAGGUCCUCGGAUCGUAAAACUCUGUUAUUAGGGAAGAACAAAUGUGUAAGUAACUAUGCACGUCUUGACGGUACCUAAUCAGAAAGCCACGGCUAACUACGUG